This 253-nucleotide ribosomal RNA is filed under the name uncultured bacterium. RNAcentral describes it as "partial 16S ribosomal RNA". It matches the Rfam family "Bacterial small subunit ribosomal RNA", at positions 524 to 776 of the family's 1533-position model. The record is from RNAcentral.
UACAGAGGUCUCGAGCGUUAGGCGGAAUCACUGGGCUUAAAGCGUGUGUAGGCGGAUCGUUAAGUACCUUGUGAAAUCCCACGGCUUAACCGUGGAACUGCUUGGUAUACUGGCGGUCUUGAGCCACUUAGGGGCUACCGGAACAAAUGGUGGAGCGGUGAAAUGCGUAGAUAUCAUUUGGAACGCCAAUGGUGAAAACAGGUAGCUGGGAGUGUGCUGACGCUGAGACACGAAAGCCAGGGGAGCAAACGGG